This 256-nucleotide ribosomal RNA is filed under the name uncultured bacterium. RNAcentral's name for it is "partial 16S ribosomal RNA". It matches the Rfam family "Bacterial small subunit ribosomal RNA", at positions 524 to 776 of the family's 1533-position model. The record is from RNAcentral.
UACGUAGGGUGCGAGCGUUGUCCGGAAUUAUUGGGCGUAAAGAGCUUGUAGGCGGUUUGUCGCGUCUGCUGUGAAAAUCCGGGACUCAACCCCGGACCUGCAGUGGGUACGGGCAGACUAGAGUGUGGUAGGGGAGACUGGAAUUCCUGGUGUAGCGGUGAAAUGCGCAGAUAUCAGGAGGAACACCGAUGGCGAAGGCAGGUCUCUGGGCCACUACUGACGCUGAGAAAGCGGAAAGACAUGGGGAGCGAACAGG